ACCUGGCUGGCUCAUUUGCUAGAGCAUGUAACUUUUAAUCUCAGGAUGGUGAGUUCAAGUCCCACAUUGGGUG
This 73-nucleotide transfer RNA is filed under the name Mustela putorius furo (domestic ferret). It matches the Rfam family "tRNA". From Rfam's summary of the family: Transfer RNA (tRNA) molecules are approximately 80 nucleotides in length. Their secondary structure includes four short double-helical elements and three loops (D, anti-codon, and T loops). The record is from Rfam by way of RNAcentral. Lineage: Eukaryota; Metazoa; Chordata; Mammalia; Carnivora; Mustelidae. RNAcentral also lists the same sequence under 1 other name.